Molecule: ribosomal RNA, 253 nt
Filed under: uncultured bacterium
Lineage: Bacteria
Description: partial 16S ribosomal RNA
Rfam family: Bacterial small subunit ribosomal RNA
Source: RNAcentral
UACGGAGGGUGCAAGCGUUGCUCGGAAUUAUUGGGCGUAAAGGGUAGGUAGGUGGUCUCAUUUGUCUGAGGUGAAAGCCUUGGGCUUAACUCAAGAAGUGCCUCAGAAACGGUGAGACUAGAGUCCUGGAGAGGGUCGUGGAAUUCCCGGUGUAGCGGUGAAAUGCGUAGAGAUCGGGAGGAACACCAGAGGCGAAGGCGGCGACCUGGACAGGCACUGACACUCAACUACGAAAGCGUGGGGAGCAAACAGG